Molecule: ribosomal RNA, 468 nt
Filed under: uncultured bacterium
Lineage: Bacteria
Description: partial 16S ribosomal RNA
Rfam family: Bacterial small subunit ribosomal RNA
Source: RNAcentral
GACGAACGCUGGCGGCGUGCUUAACACAUGCAAGUCGAACGGAAAGGCCCUGCUUUUGUGGGGUGCUCGAGUGGCGAACGGGUGAGUAACACGUGAGUAACCUGCCCUUGACUUUGGGAUAACUUCAGGAAACUGGGGCUAAUACCGGAUAGGAGCUCCUGCUGCAUGGUGGGGGUUGGAAAGUUUCGGCGGUUGGGGAUGGACUCGCGGCUUAUCAGCUUGUUGGUGGGGUAGUGGCUUACCAAGGCUUUGACGGGUAGCCGGCCUGAGAGGGUGACCGGCCACAUUGGGACUGAGAUACGGCCCAGACUCGUACGGGAGGCAGAAGUGGGGAAUAUUGCACGAUGGGCGGAAGCCUGAUGCAGCAACGCCGCGUGCGGGAUGACGGCCUUCGGGUUGUAAACCGCUUUCGCCUGUGACGAAGCGUGAGUGACGGUAAUGGGUAAAGAAGCACCGGCUAACUACGUG